AACGAACGCUGGCGGCAUGCCUAACACAUGCAAGUCGAACGAGACCUUCGGGUCUAGUGGCGCACGGGUGCGUAACGCGUGGGAACCUGCCCUUAGGUUCGGAAUAACUCCCCGAAAGGGGUGCUAAUACCGGAUAAUGUCUUCGGACCAAAGAUUUAUCGCCUUUGGAUGGGCCCGCGUUGGAUUAGCUAGUUGGUAGGGUAAAAGCCUACCAAGGCGACGAUCCAUAGCUGGUCUGAGAGGAUGAUCAGCCACACUGGGACUGAGACACGGCCCAGACUCCUAUGGGAGGCGGCAGUGGGGAAUAUUGGACAAUGGGCGAAAGCCUGAUCCAGCAAUGCCGCGUGAGUGAUGAAGGCCUUAGGGUUGUAAAGCUCUUUUACCCGGGAUGAUAAUGACAGUACCGGGAGAAUAAGCUCCGGCUAACUCCGUG
Molecule: ribosomal RNA, 433 nt
Filed under: uncultured bacterium
Lineage: Bacteria
Description: partial 16S ribosomal RNA
Rfam family: Bacterial small subunit ribosomal RNA
Source: RNAcentral